Molecule: non-coding RNA, 213 nt
Organism: Pelobates cultripes (western spadefoot toad)
Lineage: Eukaryota; Metazoa; Chordata; Amphibia; Anura; Pelobatidae
Source: the annotation of a GenBank genome assembly
AUUAGGUAUUCUCAUCUUGGUCCCCAAGAACGGAUCAUCGAAAGCUCCUCCGUGAUAUUUGAUUGAAGAAAAUCACUCAUCGGACUGUCUUCUUGUUUUCCCACAUGGCUUUAUUUCUCCAGAUUAUUCUUUUGCCUUACCCUUAUUUCUUUUACCGAUAAAUUUGAUUUGACGUGGACUGGAUACUGGACUCUCACUCUUCCAGUUCCUCAC